GAGCAGAAGAAGCCAGGCGAUUAUCCGGAGUACUCACGGGCAGAAAUCCUGGAUUUAUUUUUGGACGAAGGCUGGCUGCGCUUUGUUCGCCUUAUUCUGGCAGAAACGCCUCGCACGCACGGGGCAUGAUCGGGCGCGCAGGCUCGUCUCAUCAAACACGCAAAAAAAAAACAACCCCAAAACAAACCCAAAGAGGCGAGAGGGAGACGGUGACCUCGCUGAGCUGCAGGCGUGAGCGCAGCGCGGCUCUGUCGUGCUGGACGUGGAAGCGCGUUUCAGCAGCUCAACAACAUUUUGCUAAUGAAGAUCCGAAAUGAUGUGCAGACCAGCAGGACUGACCCGUGAGAUCGCGUGAGCCCUGCAGGAGGAUCUUUACUGCUCAGAGUGUUGAGGGUUCCUCCAGACACCCGCCUGCACACCGAACCCUCUUUACUGAGAGUGUAGAAUUACAUUAUUCUGCAUUUGGAGGCUUCAGUCCUUGACUUCUCGCCUCCCCUCAGGGGAAAACCUGGCGCCUCCUGCCCGGAUCAGACGACUCAAAACUGGACAGAGUGGUGAGGAGGGGAGGGGGGGUGAUGAAAGAAGAGAGGAGAAAUGCAGGCUGGGACGGUGAGGAUGGAGGGAUGUCACGGCAGACAGCUUUACAGAGCGGCCAACAGGAGCUCUAAUUUAAUUUCCUCCGCCGCACUGAGGAGCCACCAGCCGCCUGUCAGGCCGAGCUCAGCGGCUCCAUCCCCGGGCAGCAGGCGGGAGCUGCCCCGAGGCCAAUCUGGAGAGAGCAGGGGGUGGGGGGUGAUGAGGCUGACGUCUGUCUGAUAAUUAUAAAUGGAUCAUAAAUGAUACCCUCAUGUCAUGGAGGCCUUAAUGUUAGUCAACACAUAAGUUAAAUAGAAGUUAAAGACAUUUAUUCCGUCACUUAUUUUAGCUACUUUAAACACAUGAUCUGUGAUUUGAUUUCAUGAUUUUCAAUUUUUAGCCUCUAUUAUUGCCCCCAUUAUUAGGCCUGCUAUUACAUUUUACGGUGAAAGGGGGGUAAAUGAAUGUUUUUAAUAGCUUCUGUAUUUCUGGUUGUUAUUGGUGCUAUAAAUAUAAAGAUGAUGGUUUUAGAGCACAAUUUGUAUUAUUUUCCAAAUUUUAAAAUUACAGUCGCCUUUCUUAUGUUUUUAAGAGGACUGCAUAUUUCUAUGAUUCCCCUUUUCUCCAGGAAUACACAGAAAUAAAUUGGAACUCGUAACUGUGGCAACAGCGUGUCAAUAAACUGAGCUAUGUGCUAAAAUUUGACAGUCUAAUAAAGAAAAAUAUGAAUGUAACAGCGAAAGUAAAAUAAAACAGACAAUUGGUCGUUGUUUCUUUUUGUUUAUUUUUAUUUUUAAAAAACUAUGAAAUGUAUCCUUCCUGCUUUCGUUCCCCGGCUAGUUCUCUUUUUAAUUCCGCAGAUUGACUGUUAAAAGAUGAAUAAAAUGUUUGCUUUUUGAGACUGAAGCCUCGUUCGUGUGCAAAACAAUGAAAUUAAAGUCUGAAUUUACUGCUGCAUGAAUGAAAAAACAGGCUUUUGUACAGGAAAGAAUGAAGCGUGUGUGUGCAGAGAGAGAAAGAGAGAGAUGGCACAUUAGGCCUGAGGGUACAUCAUUAUUAGAGUGCCUG
Molecule: long non-coding RNA, 1644 nt
Filed under: Takifugu rubripes (torafugu)
Lineage: Eukaryota; Metazoa; Chordata; Actinopteri; Tetraodontiformes; Tetraodontidae
Description: lncRNA (ENSTRUG00000026487.1)
Source: RNAcentral